ACUCAAAGGAAUUGACGGGGGCCCGCACAAGCGGUGGAGCAUGUUGUUUAAUACGUCACUAACCGUAGAACCUUACCAAGGCUUGACAUCCGGUGCACCGGUAUGAAAGUAUCGUCCUCGCAAGAGGCGCCGAGACAGGUGUUGCAUGGCUGUCGUCAGCUCGUGUCGUGAGAUGUUGGGUUAAGUCCCGCAACGAGCGCAACCCUCACCCCAUUUUGCCAGCGAGUCGUGUCGGGAACUAUUGGGGAACUGCCCGUGUAAGCGGGAGGAAGGUGGGGAUGACGUCAAGUCAGCAUGGCCCUUACGCCUUGGGCUACAAACAUGCUACAAUGGACGGUAGACAGAGGGAUCCGAGCCCGCGAGGUGGAGGCAAUCUCAAAAAUCCGUUCUCAGUUCAGAUCGCAGGCUGCAACUCGCCUGCGUGAAGUCGGAAUCGCUAGUAACCGCAGAUCAGCUAAGCUGCGGUGAAUACGUUCCCGGGCCUUGUACACACCGCCCGU
RNAcentral lists this ribosomal RNA (500 nucleotides) under uncultured bacterium. Its description in RNAcentral is "partial 16S ribosomal RNA". It matches the Rfam family "Bacterial small subunit ribosomal RNA", at positions 899 to 1397 of the family's 1533-position model. The record is from RNAcentral.